RNAcentral lists this unclassified non-coding RNA (442 nucleotides) under uncultured fungus. RNAcentral's name for it is "partial contains small subunit ribosomal RNA, internal transcribed spacer 1, and 5.8S ribosomal RNA". The stretch from base 1 to 73 matches the Rfam family "Eukaryotic small subunit ribosomal RNA", at positions 1759 to 1831 of the family's 1831-position model. Lineage: Eukaryota; Fungi. The record is from RNAcentral.
GCAAACUUGGUCAUUUAGAGGAAGUAAAAGUCGUAACAAGGUUUCCGUAGGUGAACCUGCGGAAGGAUCAUUAAUGAGUUGGAACGUGGGGGCUGAUGCUGGUGCAUAUAUUUUUUGUAUGCACAUGUGCUCGCCUCCAUCCUCUUCAUCCACUCAACCCCUGUGCACUUUAUCAGAGUUAGUAGUAGUAGUAAUUGUGGUGACCAUUUGUUCUAUUCAUUGUUAGAAGGACUGAGGGGGCGGGGGGGAUAACUCCCUCCCCUCCUUCUGACGGUUGUAAUAAUAAUCAUCUUGGUUCCACUGCUACUAUGAACACUUUGACUUUAUUCAUACAAACACUUUGCUUGUCCUUGUGAAUGUGUAAUGCUCCUUGUGAGCAAAAUACAAAUAUACAACUUUCAACAACGGAUCUCUUGGCUCUCGCAUCAAUGAAGAACGCAGC